RNAcentral lists this ribosomal RNA (600 nucleotides) under uncultured bacterium. Its description in RNAcentral is "bacterial SSU rRNA". It matches the Rfam family "Bacterial small subunit ribosomal RNA", at positions 91 to 724 of the family's 1533-position model. The record is from RNAcentral.
ACGAGCGGCGGACGGGUGAGUAUUGCUGGAACUGCUGAUGGAGGGGGAUACUACUGAAACGGUAGCUAAUACCGAUAAUGUCUUCGGACCAAAGCGGGGGACCUUCGGGCCUCGCGCAUCAGAUGAACCCAUAUGGGAUUAGCUUGUAGUGAGGUAACGGCUCACCUAGCGACGAUCCCUAGCUGGUCUGAGAGGAUGAUCAGCCAUACUGGGACUGAGACACGGCCCAGACUCCUACGGGAGGCAGCAGUGGGGAAUAUUGCACAAUGGGCGCAAGCCUGAUGCAGCCAUGCCGCGUGUAUGAAGAAGGCCUUCGGGUUGUAAAGUACUUUCAGUCGGGAGGAAGGUGGUAAGGUUAAUACCUUAUCAAUUGACGUUACCGACAGAAAAAGCACCGGCUACUCGUGCCACACCGCGUAUACGGAGGUGCACGUAUCGAAAUUACUGGGCGUAACGCACGCAGGGGUGAUUGAUCAAUUUGAAUCCCNGGCUUACCCGGGAAUUGCUUCUGAUACUGGUCAGUAAAAGUUCUGUAAAGGGGGAUAAAUUCCAUGGUGUACGGUGAAUGGGUAAAAUGUGGAGGAAUCCGGUGGAAGGCGG